GACUACGUAGCUCAGCAGGUAGAGCACAUCCCUUUUAAGGAUGGGGUCCUGGGUUCGAGCCCCAGCGUGGUCACCA
This 76-nucleotide transfer RNA is filed under the name Bacteroidales bacterium. Its description in RNAcentral is "tRNA-Lys". It matches the Rfam family "tRNA". From Rfam's summary of the family: Transfer RNA (tRNA) molecules are approximately 80 nucleotides in length. Their secondary structure includes four short double-helical elements and three loops (D, anti-codon, and T loops). Further hydrogen bonds mediate the characteristic L-shaped molecular structure. tRNAs have two regions of fundamental functional importance: the anti-codon, which is responsible for specific mRNA codon recognition, and the 3' end, to which the tRNAs corresponding amino acid is attached (by aminoacyl-tRNA synthetases). tRNAs cope with the degeneracy of the genetic code in two manners: having more than one tRNA (with a specific anti-codon) for a particular amino acid; and 'wobble' base-pairing, i.e. permitting non-standard base-pairing at the 3rd anti-codon position. The record is from RNAcentral. Lineage: Bacteria; Pseudomonadati; Bacteroidota; Bacteroidia; Bacteroidales.